GAUGAACGCUAGCGGCAGGCCUAAUACAUGCAAGUCGGACGGGAUUUGGGAGCUUGCUCCUAAUGAGAGUGGCGCACGGGUGCGUAACACGUAUGUAACCUACCUUAAUCAGGGGGAUAGCCUCUCGAAAGAGAGAUUAACACCGCAUAAUAUAUUUUUAUGGCAUCGUAGAAAUAUCAAAUAUUUAUAGGAUUAAGAUGGGCAUGCGGAACAUUAGCUAGUUGGUAAGGUAACGGCUUACCAAGGCUACGAUGGUUAGGGGAUCUGAGAGGAUGACCCCCCACACUGGUACUGAGACACGGACCAGACUCCUACGGGAGGCAGCAGUAAGGAAUAUUGGUCAAUGGGCGCAAGCCUGAACCAGCCAUGCCGCGUGCAGGAAGACGGCCCUAUGGGUUGUAAACUGCUUUUGUACCGGAAUAAACCCUUUUACGUGUAAGAGGCUGAAUGUACGGUAAGAAUAAGGAUCGGCUAACUCCGUGCCAGCAGCCGCGGUAA
Molecule: ribosomal RNA, 498 nt
Filed under: uncultured bacterium
Lineage: Bacteria
Description: partial 16S ribosomal RNA
Rfam family: Bacterial small subunit ribosomal RNA
Source: RNAcentral